CAGCUACAGUGUACUCACAUACAUAAAAUAAAUCUUUUUUUAAAAAAAGAUUGGUAAAAGAAAAUAAAGCAGCCAGGCGUUGGUGGCACACACCUUUAAUCCCAGCACUUGGGAGGCAGAGGCACGCUGAUUUCUGAGUUCAAGGCCAGCCUGAUCUACAGAGUGAGUUCCAGGACAGCCAGGGCUACACAGAGAAACCCUGUCUUGAAAAAAAUGGGGAGGAAAGGGUUUAUUCAGUUUACAUUUCCACGUUGCUGUUCAUCACCAAAUGAAGUUAGGACUGGAACUCAAGCAGGUCAGGAAGCAGGAGCUGAUGCAGAGGCCAUGGAGGGAUGUUACUUACUGGCUUACUUCCCCUGGCUUGCUCAGCCUGCUCUCUUAGAGAACCCAAGACUACCAGCCUAGAGAUGGCAUCACCCACAAGGGGCCCUCCCACCCUUGAUCCUUACAGCUGGAUCCCAUGGAGGCAUUUCCUCAAGGAAGGCUCCUUUCUCUGUGAUAACUUGAGCCUGUGUCAACUUGACACCCAAAACCAACCAGUACACUGGGUGUUCUUUGAUUCCUCUACCUCUUUCAAACAGCUCAACUUCUGUCUCAUUUAAAUGACUUGUCUAGUCUGAGACUGUCUCUCAGCAGGCCUAGCAGCUUGGGAGUGGGGGCUAGAGCUAGUGGAGCUGGUGAGUAUCAGGGACUUCCCAGAUCCUUUGAAUUGUCUUCUGCCUGAAGCUUCUCUUCAGGAUGGAAUGAUUCACAUGCCCACCUCUGAAAAUCCAAUUGGUUUAUCUCCUUUAACAUCCUGUGUCUUAAGGAGCUCUCCUACAAGACAGUUUAAUCUCAGAGGAAUUGCUACAAACAAUAUCCAGAGCAAAUGAAGUCAGUAUGCUUAUCAGCACUUAUUGGAGCACUAUGUGAAAUAGCCAGUGGAUUUAGAAACAAAUGUAGCCUAACAAGUCAUGAGUGAACAAAGACUACACUAUUCAGCACUUUGUGAGAAGAUAAUCCUUUCAUUUGAGACAGCAUGGAUGGAGCUGGAGGACGUUAUUGCUGAAACGGGAAGAAAGAAACAGUUAAAGGAAGGUGGAUAAUGUAUGUCUACACUUACAUGUAGACUUUAAUAAAGCUCAACUCACACAUGAUGUGCAAUAAUGGCUACAAGUCUGAGGUUAUAAAUAUUUGGUUAGAUAGGAGAAAUAAGCUGAAGGGAUCAAUUGUUCUGGUAACUAUAGCUGAUAACAAUAUAUCAUACGCUUGAAAGUGCUAAAAGAAUGAAUUGUAAGCCUAGUUUGAAUUGGAAAAAGACGAGUUUUUGAAAUUUAACUCAAUUUAACUAUUCUACAGUUGUAUAUACCUCAAGGUAAAAUGCUGUAUAUGAUAAGUAGACUUUUUUAUCAGUGAAAUAAAACGGAGCCAUGUGUGUUCAUAUACACUGCAUUCCCAGUACUUGUAAGGCAAGAGGACCAUAAGGAACAUAAGUUUGAAGACAGCCCAAGUUACAUAGGUAGGUACUGUCUUAAAGAAAGGAAGACAGACAGACAGACAGACAGACAGACAGACAGGGAGGAAAAGGAAAAAGGAAAAAGGAGAAAGGAAAGGAAAGGAAAGGAAAGGAAAGG
This 1613-nucleotide long non-coding RNA is filed under the name Mus musculus (house mouse). RNAcentral describes it as "long non-coding RNA chrX:135782385-135783998". The record is from RNAcentral. Lineage: Eukaryota; Metazoa; Chordata; Mammalia; Rodentia; Muridae.